This 465-nucleotide ribosomal RNA is filed under the name Vreelandella stevensii. RNAcentral's name for it is "partial 16S ribosomal RNA". It matches the Rfam family "Bacterial small subunit ribosomal RNA", at positions 338 to 795 of the family's 1533-position model. The record is from RNAcentral. Lineage: Bacteria; Pseudomonadati; Pseudomonadota; Gammaproteobacteria; Oceanospirillales; Halomonadaceae.
CCUACGGGGGGCAGCAGUUGGGAAUAUUGGACAAUGGGGGCAACCCUGAUCCAGCCAUGCCGCGUGUGUGAAGAAGGCCCUCGGGUUGUAAAGCACUUUCAGUGAGGAAGAACGCCUGGUGGUUAAUACCCAUCAGGAAAGACAUCACUCACAGAAGAAGCACCGGCUAACUCCGUGCCAGCAGCCGCGGUAAUACGGAGGGUGCGAGCGUUAAUCGGAAUUACUGGGCGUAAAGCGCGCGUAGGUGGCUUGAUAAGCCGGUUGUGAAAGCCCCGGGCUCAACCUGGGAACGGCAUCCGGAACUGUCAAGCUAGAGUGCAGGAGAGGAAGGUAGAAUUCCCGGUGUAGCGGUGAAAUGCGUAGAGAUCGGGAGGAAUACCAGUGGCGAAGGCGGCCUUCUGGACUGACACUGACACUGAGGUGCGAAAGCGUGGGUAGCAAACAGGAUUAGAUACCCGGGUAGUC